GUCUAAUACGUUCUCCUAUUUAUUUGUAUUGUAGUCCUGUAAUAUUAUGUUGUCAUUUCAAUGUUAUAUUUAACAUUGCCAUUAAAGUGCGAGGUUUGGCAUGCCACAAAACCAGGUUCAACCCACCAUUUUUAUCUUUAAAAAUGUCCUGUACCAAGUCAGGAAAAUGGCCAUUGUUAUAUUAUAAUCGUUUCUGUGUGUGUAACAUUUUAAUGUUGUGUUUCCGUUGUGUCGUUUGUUUUCUCUUAUAUUUGAGUGUGAAUUCACAUUACUAUAAGACGUGUCACGGUACUUUUCUAUCCCAAAUUCAUGUAUUUGGUUUUGAUGUU
Molecule: long non-coding RNA, 329 nt
Filed under: Mytilus galloprovincialis (Mediterranean mussel)
Lineage: Eukaryota; Metazoa; Mollusca; Bivalvia; Mytilida; Mytilidae
Source: RNAcentral